UAUCUGGCUCAUAGCUCAGUGGCAGAGCUACUGCUCUGUAUGUAGGAAGUCACAGGUUUGAUCCCUAGUAUCUCCAGGUAA
Podarcis lilfordi (Lilford's wall lizard) is the source of this 81-nucleotide non-coding RNA. NCBI's taxonomy places the organism in Eukaryota, Metazoa, Chordata, Lepidosauria, Squamata, Lacertidae. The record is from the annotation of a GenBank genome assembly.